This 622-nucleotide long non-coding RNA is filed under the name Marmota monax (woodchuck). The record is from RNAcentral. Lineage: Eukaryota; Metazoa; Chordata; Mammalia; Rodentia; Sciuridae.
UAAGGUGUAAAUAUCUGAUAUAUUAGGAAAUUUUGUUAUUGGAUCUGAAACAAUUUUCACACCAUUAGCGGUUGAAACAUACCUCUUUAGGUAUUUUGAGGUAUUUACUAUUAACUAAAUUUAGGAAGUUUUUAGGUUCACUCUAAGUGCAGUAAAUAUUACAGACAUUGGAUACAGUGGGAUUUUCUGUAGAUUUUACUUAAGAAGAGGUGAGUAUAAAGCAAUUUGCAGUCAUUAUUGUAAUGACAAUACUGUUCAAGUGCAAACCCAAAACAGUGCAGCUUUUAAAUUUUAAAGCAUUUGGUAAACUGUUGCUGUUUUUUUCUGUUGCCAAUAGCAAACUGCUUUUCCAUUAAUGGAGACUUCAUGCCUUUCAAGCAUUUUAAAUAUGACAAUAUUUAUAAAUGUGUGAUUUGGAGGAAUUCUUUAAAUUCUUUUUCUUAAUUUCCUUUCUCUUCAGAAUAGAUUCUUUCAACAAGUAAUUUGUAGUAAUGACUGUGUUGACUUCAAUGUUUUGGAGUGUAGUAGCUAUGUUAAAGAUUAACUAUUUGGUCUUAUUGAAGCCAACACAGAACUUGCUGCUGUGUUUUUUCUUCAGUGAUAAAUAAAAUACUUACAGAAU